This 189-nucleotide unclassified non-coding RNA is filed under the name uncultured Pleosporales. Its description in RNAcentral is "sequence contains ITS1". The record is from RNAcentral. Lineage: Eukaryota; Fungi; Ascomycota; Dothideomycetes; Pleosporales.
CCCUAUACCAUCGGGGGGCCGGCCCUGGAGAUUGCGGCACCCAUCAGGGAAGCCCUCUCUCCUGCCCGCCCUGUCUGAAUCUACCCAUGAUUUUUGCGUACCCAUUGUUUCCUCGGCAGGCUUGCUUGCCAGUAGGACAUUUUUCAACCUUUUGUAAUUGCAGUCAGCGUCAGAAAAACUUAAUAGUUA